GACGAAGGAUGCAAGCGUUAUCCGGAAUUAUUGGGCGUAAAGAGUACGUAGGCGGCUAGUCAAGUCCCGGGUUAAAUCCCGCAGCUUAACUGCGGAUCGGCCUUGGAAACUGGCUUGCUGGAGUGUGGUAGGGGUAGCGGGAAUUCCUGGUGUAGCGGUGAAAUGCGUAGAGAUCAGGAAGAACAACUGCGGCGAAAGCGCGCUACUGGACCAUGACUGACGCUGAGGUACGAAAGCUAGGGGAGCAAAAGGG
This 253-nucleotide ribosomal RNA is filed under the name uncultured bacterium. RNAcentral describes it as "partial 16S ribosomal RNA". It matches the Rfam family "Bacterial small subunit ribosomal RNA", at positions 524 to 776 of the family's 1533-position model. The record is from RNAcentral.